CAAGGAAUAGUUUAAGUAGAAUUUCAGCUU
Molecule: transfer RNA, 30 nt
Filed under: Rhinolophus ferrumequinum (greater horseshoe bat)
Lineage: Eukaryota; Metazoa; Chordata; Mammalia; Chiroptera; Rhinolophidae
Description: partial tRNA-Pro
Source: RNAcentral